RNAcentral lists this long non-coding RNA (3212 nucleotides) under Homo sapiens (human). Its description in RNAcentral is "HSALNT0241127". Lineage: Eukaryota; Metazoa; Chordata; Mammalia; Primates; Hominidae. The record is from RNAcentral.
CGCGGAGGUACUUGGGAAAGGGGCGUGGCUUCGCGACUGCGGAAGGUUGCCCGGGCUGGCGCCGCUGGGCAGAGCCGGUGCGACGUUUCCCUUUCCAGCUUUGUUCUUCCGGCCCUGCUGUCUGCCUCCCCGGCUGAUUGGAUUCGUUACUGCUUUGCAACGCGCACCUAACUCCAGACGGGGUCUCACUCUGUCGCCCAGGCUGGAGUGCAGUGGCACAAUCUCAGCUUGCUGUGACCUCAGCUCUCUGCGACCUCUGCUUGCUGGACUCAAGCGAUCCUCCCACCACCUCAGCCUCCUGAGUAGCUGGAACCAUCAUAUGCACCAGCACGCCUGGCUAAGCUGGAAUGCAAUAGCGUGGUCUUGGCUCACUGCAACCUCCGCCUCCCGGGUUCAAGCAAUUCUCCUGCCUCAGCCUCCUAAGUAGCUGGGACUACAGCUUGAGGUCCUACCUGGUGUCCUCCAUGAGAAUCAUACAAGCCCCGCUACAGACAACAGAAUUGGAAGGUCCUGAGAGCUACCAGAAGCAUCUUCAGUUUUCAUAUGAAAAACUUAAGCCCAGGAGUGAUUUGUGCAGCCAAGGACACACAGCAAGUUAGUGGCUGCACCAGAAAUAGUACUCACUGCCUCAGACAGUCCCUCCCACAGUCUACUCUGUCUCCACCCCAAGGUCUGGUUCUGAAUCAUUCAGUUGUCAGUUGUCUCCUUUUUUUUUUUUUUUUUUGGAGACAGGGUCUCUCUCUGUGGCCCAGGCUGAAGUGCAGUGGUGUGAUUACAGCUCAUGUAGCCUGGACCUCCCAAGCUCAAGCAAUCCUCCUGCCUCUGCCUCCCAAGUAGCUGGGACCACAGGUGGGCAGCACCACACCUGGCUAAUUUUUUAAAUUUUUUUUUAUAGAGACAGGGUCUUACCAUUUGCCCCAGCUGGUCUCAAACCCCUGGGCUCAAGCAAGCCUCCUGCCUUGGCCUCCCAAAGUGCUGGGAUUACAGGUGUGAGCCACCACACCCGGCCUUAUCUCCUAACAUUUUGAUAGCACAAAAUUUUGAAAACCCACUUCUGUGUACGUUAUGAAGCAUAGAAAAUUAAACAGUAUGCACCAAAAAAAAAUAAAUACAAGUUAUAAUAUUUUCUUUCUGUCCCCACACUUAAAAGACCACUCUUCUAAACCAGGCCACAAUCAUUCAAGCAAAGGCAGGCACUUGGGGCCAUCCUCCUCCACUUUCCCCUAGGGAAAACAAACAAAACCAAAGGAAAAACAAAAACAAAAACAGGUUUUAAAGAGUGCAUGUUUCCCAGUUCCAGGGAAAAUUAUAGGCCAGAACACUGUUGUGGCAAACAUGCAUCCUUACAUACUGCAGGGUAAACCAAACAUGCAACAAACUAAAUUAAUAAUGAUGAAACCAAACUAACAGUAACUUAUAAUUAAAAAGCCAGAACGGCAGCUGCUGGAAACAGGAGCAGAUCCACCAUCCUCGAUGAAACUCUGAUAAUCAAAUACCCUUUCCCAAAAUGGCCAAAAUCCUUGCUCACAUAUUCCAGGUAGGUUCUUUGCUCUGUAGCCAAGAUGUGAGUAGCAGCCAGUCUUCCAUAAGCUACUGAAUUAUCUCCUUGGUAAAUUCUAAUUGUGGGGCACCCCCAUACCUCUCUUCCCACUUUUUUUUAAGACAGGGUCCCGCCCUGUUGUCCAGGUUGGAGUACAGUGGCAGCAUGAUCAUAGCUCACUGAAGCCUAGACCUCUUGGGCUCAAAUGCUUUUCCUGAGUAGCUGGGACUACAAUGCACACCACCAUGCCCGGCUAAUUUUAUUUUUUGUAGAGACAGGGUCUCACUAUGUUUCCCAGUCUGGUCUUGAACUUCUGAGCUCAAAAGAUCAUCCUGCCUCAGCCUCCCGAGUAGCUAGGACUAGAGGCUCAUGCCACCAUACCCGGCUAGUUUUUAUUUUUAGUAGAGACAAAAACCUCACUUACGUUGCCCAAACUAUUCUCAAACUCCUGGACUCAAGCAAUCCUCCUGCCUCCGCCUCCAAAAGUGUUGGGAUUACAGGUGUGAGCCACUGAAUCUGGCCCAUAGGUCUUUUUUUUUUUGAGAUGGAGUCUCAACUGUUGCAGGGGCUAGUGUGUAGUGGCACAAUCUCGGUUCACUGCAACCUCUGCAUCCCGGGUUCAAGCGAUUCUCCUGCCUCAGCCUCCCGAGUAGCUAGGAUUACAGGCGCCAGCCACCAUGCCCAGCCUGGCUAAUUUUUUGUAUUUUUAAUAGAGACGGGGUUUCACUAUGUUGGCCAGGCUGGUCUUGAACUCCUGAACUCGUGAUCCACCCGCCUCAGCCUCCCAAAGUGCUGGGAUUACAGGCGUGAGCCAUGGCGCCCGGCUUUUUUUUUUUUUUUUUUUUUUUUAAGACAGUCUCGCUGGAGUGCAGUGGCAGAAUCUCGGCUCACUGCAACCUCUGCCUCCCGGGUUCAAGCGAUUCUUGUGCCUCGACCUACUAGUAGCUGGAAUUACAGGUGUGAGCCACCACACCUGGCCAGAUCUUUCUUAAUACCUCAAAACAACUAGGAAUUUGGGCUGGGCAUGGUGGCUCACGCCUGUAAUCCCAGCACUUUGGGAGGCCAAGGUGGGUGGAUCACUUGAGGACAGGAGUUCAAGACCAGCCUGGCCAACAUGGCAAAACCCCAUCUCCACUAGAAAUGCAAAACCUAGCCAGGUGUGGUGGCACACACCUGUAAUUCCAGCUACUUGGGAGGCUGAGGCAUUUGAACCCAGGAGGCAGAGGUUGCAGUGAGCUGAGACCACGCCACUGCACUACAGCCUGGGCAACAGAGCAAGACUUCGUCUCAAAAAACAAAAAAAAACAGCUAGGUUUGGCUACAAAGGAUUCACAGGGUAUUGGAGACUGCAGUUGGAACAGAGUUUUCCCAAAAAGCAACAGGGCUUCUGCCUCCUGGGCUUAGCAGAUGUGACCUUGGACAAGUUACUAAGCCUUUCUGAGCUUCAUUUUUCUCAUCUGUAGGAUGAGGUGUCUCCAGGUUAUUGUGAAGAUGUGUAUAUGCGGUGCUUUAUGAACCACAAAGCUGCAUGUGGUUGUCAGGUUCCCUCUUCUGGCCUUGUGAGCUGGAGACACACACACACAUUUCUCCCCAAACUGUCUCAGCCCCCAGGCACCUACUGCAAGGACUCGGGGAUCGUGCAGAGGUGCAAAGGAGUCGUGCCCUCCUCAGU